ACUUAAAUAGCUUAUAUAAGAGCAUAGUAUUGAAGAUACUAAGGAAAAUAGUUAUUUUUUAAGUA
Molecule: transfer RNA, 65 nt
Filed under: Cryptocephalus octoguttatus
Lineage: Eukaryota; Metazoa; Arthropoda; Insecta; Coleoptera; Chrysomelidae
Description: tRNA-Phe
Source: RNAcentral